RNAcentral lists this ribosomal RNA (501 nucleotides) under uncultured Staphylococcus sp. RNAcentral describes it as "bacterial SSU rRNA". It matches the Rfam family "Bacterial small subunit ribosomal RNA", at positions 23 to 507 of the family's 1533-position model. Lineage: Bacteria; Bacillati; Bacillota; Bacilli; Caryophanales; Staphylococcaceae. The record is from RNAcentral.
GUCAGGAUGAACGCUGCGGCGUGCCAUACAUGCAAGUCGAGCGAACAGACGAGGAGCUUGCUCCUCUGACGUUAGCGGCGGAACGGGUGAGUAACACGUGGAUAACCUACCUAUAAGACUGGGAGUAACUUCGGGAAACCGGAGCUAAUACCGGAUAAUAUAUUGAACCGCAUGGUUCAAUAGUGAAAGACGGUUUUGCUGUCACUUAUAGAUGGAUCCGCGCCGCAUUAGCUAGUUGGUAAGGUAACGGCUUACCAAGGCAACGAUGCGUAGCCGACCUGAGAGGGUGAUCGGCCACACUGGAACUGAGACACGGUCCAGACUCCUACGGGAGGCAGCAGUAGGGAAUCUUCCGCAAUGGGCGAAAGCCUGACGGAGCAACGCCGCGUGAGUGAUGAAGGUCUUCGGAUCGUAAAACUCUGUUAUUAGGGAAGAACAAAUGUGUAAGUAACUAUGCACGUCUUGACGGUACCUAAUCAGAAAGCCGCGGCUAACUACGUG